This 420-nucleotide long non-coding RNA is filed under the name Brassica napus (rape). RNAcentral describes it as "long non-coding RNA (BNAP_LNC013025)". Lineage: Eukaryota; Viridiplantae; Streptophyta; Magnoliopsida; Brassicales; Brassicaceae. The record is from RNAcentral.
CGGGCAAACAAGCCGCCAAAUAUUUCGCGAAAAUUGAAAUUGAAAAUACUGAGGGAAUUCCGACGGAAAAUAUCCGUCAGACCCAAGGUUUUAUAAACUCGAACCGCAUCUUCUUCCCCAUUUCUCUCUUCUUCCUCUCCGGCGAUCUCUCUCUCCUUCCGGCGUUCUCCACCUUCUCUCGCGACGAUCUCUCCGGCGAAUCCUUUCCAUUCCUUUACAAAUCAUGUAAGGACCUUAUCCCACUCUCUUAGGUCCUAUUUGUUAGGUUUUUAAGUAGAUUUGAUGAUUUUAGAAGUUUUUUGAUAGAUUUUUGUUAGGGUGAUUGGGUAGGAUUGUGAUUUGUUGUGUAAUAGGUUUAGAAUUGUGAUUUGGUUGUGUUGAAUUGAUUUAGAACUUUUUUUAUAAAUUGUUUAUUAUUUU